AGUGAACGCUGGCGGUAGGCCUAACACAUGCAAGUCGAACGGCAGCACAGGAGAGCUUGCUCUCUGGGUGGCGAGUGGCGGACGGGUGAGGAAUACAUCGGAAUCUGCCCAGUCGUGGGGGAUAACGUAGGGAAACUUACGCUAAUACCGCAUACGACCUUCGGGUGAAAGAGGGGGAUCGCAAGACCUCUCGCGAUUAGAUGAGCCGAUGUCGGAUUAGCUAGUUGGCGGGGUAAUGGCCCACCAAGGCGACGAUCCGUAGCUGGUCUGAGAGGAUGAUCAGCCACACUGGAACUGAGACACGGUCCAGACUCCUACGGGAGGCAGCAGUGGGGAAUAUUGGACAAUGGGCGCAAGCCUGAUCCAGCCAUACCGCGUGGGUGAAGAAGGCCUUCGGGUUGUAAAGCCCUUUUGUUGGGAAAGAAAUCUUUCAGGCUAAUACCCUGGGAGGAUGACGGUACCCAAAGAAUAAGCACCGGCUAACUUCGUG
Molecule: ribosomal RNA, 490 nt
Filed under: uncultured bacterium
Lineage: Bacteria
Description: partial 16S ribosomal RNA
Rfam family: Bacterial small subunit ribosomal RNA
Source: RNAcentral